GACGUAGGGCGCGAGCGUUGUCCGGAUUUAUUGGGCGUAAAGAGCUUGUAGGUGGUUUGUCGCGUUGUUCGUGAAAUCUCACGGCUCAACUGUGAGCGUGCGGGCGAUACGGGCAGACUAGAGUACUGCAGGGGAGACUGGAAUUCCUGGUGUAGCGGUGGAAUGCGCAGAUAUCAGGAGGAACACCGGUGGCGAAGGCGGGUCUCUGGGCAGUAACUGACGCUGAGAAGCGAAAGCGUGGGGAGCGAACAGG
Molecule: ribosomal RNA, 253 nt
Filed under: uncultured bacterium
Lineage: Bacteria
Description: partial 16S ribosomal RNA
Rfam family: Bacterial small subunit ribosomal RNA
Source: RNAcentral